RNAcentral lists this transfer RNA (71 nucleotides) under Janetaescincus sp. MCB-2011. Its description in RNAcentral is "tRNA-Ile". It matches the Rfam family "tRNA". Rfam says of the family: Transfer RNA (tRNA) molecules are approximately 80 nucleotides in length. Lineage: Eukaryota; Metazoa; Chordata; Lepidosauria; Squamata; Scincidae. The record is from RNAcentral.
GGAAGUGUGCCCGAACUACAAGGACUACUUUGAUAGAGUAUAACACAGGGGUUAAAAUCCCCUCACUUCCU